This 81-nucleotide transfer RNA is filed under the name Nilaparvata lugens yeast-like symbiont. RNAcentral describes it as "tRNA-Ser (ACT) (tRNA-Ser-ACT-1-1)". It matches the Rfam family "tRNA". Rfam says of the family: Transfer RNA (tRNA) molecules are approximately 80 nucleotides in length. Their secondary structure includes four short double-helical elements and three loops (D, anti-codon, and T loops). Lineage: Eukaryota; Fungi; Ascomycota. The record is from RNAcentral.
GGGGGGAUGGUGUAGUGCUAUAUAGCACUUGGCAUGACUACUACUUCGUAGAGUCAGCGGGUUCGAAUCCCGCUCCCCCCA